AGUCAGAUCUGUUCUUCUCUGUUACAAGCUGUUUUAUAUUAGUGAACAUUUUUUAAAUGUGCUUUUUUUGGGCUUCCUCCUGCCCUAUUUUGGUUCCUGUCUCCAUGUUUCUCAUGAAGUGUUUCAGUUCCUCAGCCACACGUUCUCUUGGCAUAGUUUUCGGGAACAUAAAUUUCAAGAUUGGCAAAGGGAUACUGUACCUUACCCAUUCCAUCUGAACAUUAUUACGAUGCCACAAAAUCACCUAUUUUCAUAAUAAAAUAUACCAUGCUUCUUUUUAUUAAUAAUUGAAAAUGAACAGAAAUAUUGUUAUUUGUUUGAGAAGGGCUCCAUUGUUUUUCUUUAGAAUGUUAAUUUCCUGCUUUGCAUUUCCUUCCUCAUAGAUAAAUGCAGAGAACAUGUCUCUUCUUGGGAAAAGUGGGCAUUCUUGAAGAAGUAAAAGAUUGACCUCAUUGUAUACAUUUAAUAAAUACUAUUUUUUUCCAAAGUAUGGUUAAUGACAGGUUGGAUAAUCUCUUGAUUUGGGAACUGAGUUCUACUACAUUUAAUACAAUCCCAAAUGACUAAGACGUGAACCAGAGAACACUGAGUCUGGAGGUUCGCAGUUUCUGGUAUCAUUUCUGUGGCUCAAAAGUGUGAGGGUCAAAGUUUCUCCGUUGUUUCUUACCAUCAUGAUUAUAACAUGGAUAACUGUGGAUCUACCCAUCACAUUCAAAUUCCAGGAAGGAAGCGGGAAAGAGAAAAGGCAAAGUCCAAGAGGCCAAGCCAGCCAAAUCUUUCCCUUUAAAGGGACUUUCCUAAAAAUCCUGCUUCUCUCUGGCCAGGAUGGUAUCACACAACCUCCUAGCUGCAAGGAAAUUGGGAAAUAUAUUUGUUUGUUUUUUUCAGCUGGGUAUAUUGCCACUUCCAGCAAAAGUAGGAAGGAAGAAAGGGAAAAUAGUUACUGAUCAAAAAAUUGGCACUCUGUACCCCUCCUUUUUAUUUAAUUUUUUGGCCUUUCCACAGCAUAUGGAAGUUCCCAGGCCACGGACUGAAUCUGAGCCACAGCUGUGAUGCUUCAGCUGUGGCAACACCGAAUCCUUAACCCACUGUGUCAGGCCAGGAAUCAAACCUGCAUGCCAGCACUCCAGGGACACUGCCGAUCCUGUUGCACCACAGAGAGAGCUCCACCACAACCUUUUCUUGGAAAAAUAUCAUCUUAUUUCAAGAUCAUGUCUGCAAGCUGAUGGUUGCUUUUUAAUUAUAAGAAUAAUAAAUGGGGCCUUCACAAAAUGGCCCCACCGCUGCUUUCAGUCCCUAGUGGACUGAGUUGUAAUUGCUGGUUGAAUUAUUCUGCUAUUACUAAAGCAAGUCGCAUUGCCUUCUCUUGGGGGAAUAGCUUUAGAAUAGCUUCUAAAAGAAAAAUAAAAGAAUUUAAAACACUACCUAUGCAAAACUGUAGUGAGUGGGUCUUAACGGUAUUUUUUAAAGUAUAUUUUCAUGGCUUACUUGUAAUAUAGUAGUUUUGGGGACACAAUAACUACCCACGCAUCAGAAGUUGCCCUUAUGACCAUUUCAGUGCAUAAGGUAUGGUGGUAGGAGAAUUGGCUUUGAAAUGAGACACACCUGGACUUGCAAUGUAGGUAAUAUUAAAAGCCUCCAAAGUGGUCUGCCUGCGUUUGCCCUUGCUAUUUAUAGACCAUUCUCAGCCAGCUGCAGAGAAGACCCUAAAUGAUGUCAGAUAAAGGUACCCUGCUCAAAACCCCCAGUGGCUCCUCAUCCAAAGAAGCCAAAAUCCUUACAAUGGCCUCCAAGGUCCUCUCCUUCUCUGCACACACUGACCCAACCCCCGAGUCUUUCUGACCUCUUUCCUGUCUUUUCUUCCUCUUCCCUCUGUUCCAGCCUAGCCUCCUUGCUGUUGCUCAAAGCCCACUCCCCCUCAGAGCUCUGCACUGCCUCUUCACUGCCUGUAGCACUUUCCCCUCUGAUACCCACAGGGCCCACCCCUCACCCUUUCAGGGCAUUUUUGAAGGUCACCUUUUUUAACGACUUCCUUUAAUCUGCAGAACAAGCUUCCUUUCAUCUUCUUUAAUUUUCUAUAGUACUUGCAUCUAUCACCACUAUCUUCUUAUUGCAUUUCAUUUCAUUUCAGUCGUAGAAGAGGAUUAAAAUCUUUACUCCUAGUCUAGUAUCUUAUUUUAAUUAUUUUUCUAAUUAAUACAGUAAAAAAAAAUUCAAACAGUUUAGGAGUUCCCGUCGUGGCGCAGCAGAAACUAAUCCGACUAGGAACCAUGAGGUUUUGGGUUUGAUCCCUGGCCUCGCUCAGUGAGUUAAGGAUCCAGCGUUGCCAUGAGCUGUGGAGUAGGUCACAGACGCAGCUCGAAUCCGGAGUUGCUGUGGCUCUGGCGUAGGCUGGCAGCUAUAGCUCCAAUUGGACCCCUAGCCUGGGAAUCUCCAUAUGCUGCAAGUGUGGCCCUGAAAAGACAAA
This 2467-nucleotide long non-coding RNA is filed under the name Sus scrofa (pig). RNAcentral's name for it is "lncRNA (ENSSSCG00040024720.1)". The record is from RNAcentral. Lineage: Eukaryota; Metazoa; Chordata; Mammalia; Artiodactyla; Suidae.